UUGCUAUGUAUUCUCUAUGAUGUUUGAAUGAUUGAUGAGUCAUAGUGAUAUGAAAGAAUAUGUUUUGAAAAUGGGAGUAUGGUACUUGAUUGAUGGUCGAGUAGGCAAGGGACGCGGGAGGAACCGGCGGACCCAACACAUGGUGGCAAAUACCUGAGGUCGAAAGACCAGUAUGGAAAACCCACAAUUAAAGAAAUGAAAUACGGCUAAUACCUGAGGUCGAAAGGCCGGUAUGGAAACCCCCGUAUUAUCUAUUGGCCAAAUUUGAUGAACAGGUUCCGAAAAUCAAAGUCUAUUGCUAUCAGUCAAGUACCACACUUCAAGGGUACCCGAUAAAGAGAAGGAUUUCAAAGAAAAGGAUCACGAAUGAAGUUAUAGAUGUGAUAUUGUACUUAUUGAAUGGAUAAUGUGUUAUGUGAUUGAUAUAUUGCUAUUACAUCAGUUUGAACUUGCUGAGCCAUUAGCUCAUUAGGUUCUUAUGAUGCAGGUAAUGAUGUACAUGUUUAGAAGUUGACCUAGCCAAGAGCGGCCAGUCAGAUAUUUGUUCAUAUGCCAUGCUUCGAGCCAUUUUUGUAGCCGAGCAGAAACUCUGAUUUCAUUUUGUUAGCCGCUCUAUUAUGGUUUUUGUACAAUGUAAUUUUGUAAACAAUGAAUAUAUAUAUGUACGGAUUUUGAGAAAGUACAAAGUUUGAUU
Non-coding RNA from Erythranthe guttata (spotted monkey flower), 694 nucleotides. NCBI's taxonomy places the organism in Eukaryota, Viridiplantae, Streptophyta, Magnoliopsida, Lamiales, Phrymaceae. The record is from RefSeq and is a predicted model, not a curated record.